AUUGAACGCUGGCGGCAUGCUUUACACAUGCAAGUCGAACGGUAACAGGCCUUCGGGUGCUGACGAGUGGCGAACGGGUGAGUAAUGCAUCGGAACGUACCCAGAGGUGGGGGAUAACGCAGCGAAAGCUGUGCUAUUACCGCAUGUGAUCUGAGGAUGAAAGCGGGGGACCGAGCAGCAAUGUUUGGCCUCGCGCCUUUGGAGCGGCCGAUGUCGGAUUAGCUAGUUGGUGGGGUAAAGGCCUACCAAGGCGACGAUCCGUAGCUGGUCUGAGAGGACGACCAGCCACACUGGGACUGAGACACGGCCCAGACUCCUACGGGAGGCAGCAGUGGGGAAUUUUGGACAAUGGGCGCAAGCCUGAUCCAGCAAUGCCGCGUGCGGGAAGAAGGCCUUCGGGUUGUAAACCGCUUUUGGCAGGAACGAAACGGUGUCCGCUAAUACCGGGCGCUAAUGACGGUACCUGCAGAAUAAGCACCGGCUAACUACGUG
Molecule: ribosomal RNA, 492 nt
Filed under: uncultured bacterium
Lineage: Bacteria
Description: partial 16S ribosomal RNA
Rfam family: Bacterial small subunit ribosomal RNA
Source: RNAcentral